CACUGCAGCUUCAACCUUCCAGACUCAAAUGAUCCUCCUACCUCAGCCUCUCAAGUAGCUAUGACCACAGAUGCAUGUCACCAUGCCAUGGUAAUUUUUUUAAAAAAUUUUUUUGUAGAGACAGGGUAUCACCAUGUUGCCCAGGCUGGUGUUGAACUUCUGGGCUCAAGUGAUCCAUCCACCUCAGCCUCCCAAAGUUCUGGGUUUACAGGAAUGAGCCACUGCUGUAUUACUUGGAGAAUAUCUGGAUCCACAGCUUCCUUUUGAAAGUACAAAGUGUCUGGCUGGCAGACUUUUCUUCCAUAGCCAGAUUUUCAAUGGAAAUUUACUGGAGUUAGGAUCAAGAGGUCUCCUGGGUACAAGGUACUCUGAAAAGCAUCAAGUAUAACUUUUAAUCCCUUCGGGAGAAAGGCACUGGAUUUCAAGGGCUUGACCAUGUCUGAACAGAUGGGACAGUUUGAAUGAGAACAGCAUGCAUCUCCAGAGGUUCUCUGCAUUUGGGUGGCAGCUUUACAUACCAUCAGGACGUUUGCCUCCAUUUAGCUUGGAAGCACAGGAGACCUACUGAAGAGUAGUCACUCACUCUGCAAGGCUUGAAGGAUUAUUCAGCCCUCUGAAAAUAAUUCCACUACGAUGUAACACUUUUUUAAAUCACUGCCAAAUGUAUUUAAAAAUAAGUAAUGUUGCCAAUAGCUGAAGCCUUCAAAUAUAGAAAUGUUCAUAACAUCUGAUACGGUUUGGCUGUGUCUUCAUCCAAAUCUCAUCGUGAGUUGUAGUUCCCAUAAUCCCCACCUGUGGUGGGAGGGACCCAGUGGGAGGUAACUGAAUCAUGGGGACAGUUUUCUUCAUGCUACUAUUGUGAUAGUAAGUUCUCAUGAGAUCUGAUGGUUUUAUAAGGGGCUUCCCUCUUCACUCAGCCUAAUUCUUCUCUUUGCUGCUGCCAUGUGAAGAAGGACAUGUUCGCUUUCCCUUCCGCCAUGAUUGUAAGUUUCCUGAAACCUCCCCAGCCAUGCUGAACUGUGAGACAAUUAAACCCCUUUCCUUUUCAAAUUACCCAGUCUCAGGUAUGUUUUUAUUAGCAGCAUGAGAGUGGACUAACCCAACACCUUACAUUUUAACGACAUAUUAUUUUGUUUCCACUAUGCUCUAUUUAUUGUGAGUCUACUAAGGGCUAGAUUCUGUGAUUAAAUAGAGACCAAAACACUGUGGGCACUGGGGGAAAGCAGCAUUAAUUAACUAUUAGGCAAGUGGUGAAACUGCAAAAGUAAUAAAAGCUGCAAAGGAGAGAUAGUUACUUGAAGUUCUGAGUCCCUUCUAUAAGGGAGCUUGACCUGGUCAAGGAGGUCUUGAAAUUAGAGUGGGUUGAUCUGAAGGAUAAGUAGGAGUUGACAAGACAAUGAGGGGUAAGAAGAGCAUUCCCAGAAGAGGAAACAGCAUGUGCAAGGGCCCUAUCAUGUGAGGGAGUAUGCUGAGCACAAAGAAUGGGACACAGUUUGUGAAAAGGCCACCAUGCCUAGAAAACAAGAGUGAGCAGGGUGAAGGAUGAGACCAAAGAGAAGACAGACACCAGGUCUUGCAGGUCAUGUUAAG
Callithrix jacchus (white-tufted-ear marmoset) is the source of this 1590-nucleotide non-coding RNA. The record is from RefSeq and is a predicted model, not a curated record. Lineage: Eukaryota; Metazoa; Chordata; Mammalia; Primates; Cebidae.